This 497-nucleotide ribosomal RNA is filed under the name uncultured bacterium. RNAcentral describes it as "partial 16S ribosomal RNA". It matches the Rfam family "Bacterial small subunit ribosomal RNA", at positions 28 to 507 of the family's 1533-position model. The record is from RNAcentral.
GAUGAACGCUGGCGGCGUGCCUAAUACAUGCAAGUCGAGCGAACAGAUGAGGAGCUUGCUCCUCUGACGUUAGCGGCGGACGGGUGAGUAACACGUGGAUAACCUACCUAUAAGACUGGGAUAACUUCGGGAAACCGGAGCUAAUACCGGAUAAUAUAUUGAACCGCAUGGUUCAAUAGUGAAAGACGGUUUUGCUGUCACUUAUAGAUGGAUCCGCGCCGCAUUAGCUAGUUGGUAAGGUAACGGCUUACCAAGGCAACGAUGCGUAGCCGACCUGAGAGGGUGAUCGGCCACACUGGAACUGAGACACGGUCCAGACUCCUACGGGAGGCAGCAGUAGGGAAUCUUCCGCAAUGGGCGAAAGCCUGACGGAGCAACGCCGCGUGAGUGAUGAAGGCCUUCGGAUCGUAAAACUCUGUUAUUAGGGAAGAACAAAUGUGUAGGUAACUAUGCACGUCUUGACGGUACCUAAUCAGAAAGCCACGGCUAACUACGUG